RNAcentral lists this unclassified non-coding RNA (391 nucleotides) under Hevea brasiliensis (rubber tree). Lineage: Eukaryota; Viridiplantae; Streptophyta; Magnoliopsida; Malpighiales; Euphorbiaceae. The record is from RNAcentral.
AAAAAAAUUUGAAAUUUUGAAAAUUUUUGUUUUGGGGGCUCUAUUUGGAGGGGCUGUGUUUAGGCAGAUAUGGGAUUAGCGGGUUUUCUUGGGUGGCAAAGUUAGAUUAUUUGAUUUAAAGGAUUCUGGUAUAAUAUGGAUCGUUACUUGUAACGAUUACUGUUGUUUCACAAUCCAAUUUGCCGACUUAGCAUUUCUUGAUGUCCUGUUUGAUAAUUGAUAGGAAUUUUGGGCUUUUCCAUUUUUUGAAUUGUUGGUUUACGAGAAGGCAUGAACAGUUUCAUGCGAUUAAAAAUUUAUGUAUUAUCGUGUUGUUAUAUUUUUGCAUUGAAUUUGGUAGAAAAUGGGAUUAUUGCCGGUGAUUAUUAUUCUUAUUGCAUAAUCUCAUGGU